CGUAGGGUGCGAGCGUUAAUCGGAAUUACUGGGCGUAAAGCGUGCGCAGGCGGUUUUGUAAGACAGAUGUGAAAUCCCCGGGCUCAACCUGGGACCUGCAUUUGUGACUGCAAGGCUAGAGUACGGUAGAGGGGGAUGGAAUUCCGCGUGUAGCAGUGAAAUGCGUAGAUAUGCGGAGGAACACCGAUGGCGAAGGCAAUCCCCUGGACCUGUACUGACGCUCAUGCACAAAAGCGUGGGGAGCAAACAGGAUUAGAUACCCUGGUAGUCCACGCCCUAAACGAUGUCAACUGGUUGUUGGGUCUUUACUGACUCAGUAACGAAGCUAACGCGUGAAGUUGACCGCCUGGGGAGUACGGCCGCAAGGUUG
This 370-nucleotide ribosomal RNA is filed under the name uncultured organism. Its description in RNAcentral is "bacterial SSU rRNA". It matches the Rfam family "Bacterial small subunit ribosomal RNA", at positions 526 to 896 of the family's 1533-position model. The record is from RNAcentral.